AAUAUAUAAAAACACUCUUGUAAUAAAAAUAAAACAUUUUCUUAUAAUUUAAGUAAAAGAUAUUUGUGAAUAAAAUAUUAUUAUAUGAUUAUAAUAAUAUAUUAUUAUUAUUAACUAAUGCAUAAAAUUAAACAAAUGAAAUAAAAGAAUAGAAAAAGAGAAACAGAAUAGCUAAAAAGAAACAGAGAACAGACGAAAAAGAAAGAAAGGAAAGGGGAAAUAAAAAUAAAAGGGAAAACUAGGGAUUUGAAGCUUGAAGUUUAAUAGGUAAGCUAAAUCAAGUCUUUUCUCAUAAAUUUGGUGUUUUUGGAAUCCUAGAGUGAAAUACUCUUGUAUUUAAGUUGAAAAUUUGAAAGUUAAUAGAUUUUUGAGUAGGGUUUAUGUUGAAUAAAUGAUGGAAUUGAGGGUUUAUUUGAUUGAGUUUCUAGUUAGAGUUGAUAAAAGGAUUAAAUUGUGAACUAAACUAGAAGUUUUGAAUUUUAGGGAUUAAAUUGAAAUAAAUUCGAAAUUAUAAAAAUAUGAUAAAAAUUAGAUAGUUAAAUGUGAGUUUGGUAGGAAAUUAAGUAGUAAAAAGGUAUGGAUUGAGAAAGAAAAAUAUAUAGGUUAGUUAGGAUUAAAUUAGAAUUAAAGUAAAAGUUAGAUAAAAAUUUCAGCAAUUAAAUUGUUUUGUGCUAAUGAUUGUGAAAUUAUUUUAAUUGUCCAUAGCUAAUAUCGAGCCUGAAGCAUCGGCCCAAAAAGGAAAAGAAAAGAUUGUUGAGGAUUAAAUCCGAAGAGAAUUCCGGUUUGUAUUACUAUAAUUCAAAUUAUUUAUUAUUUGAUGUUGAAUUUAAAUUAUGUGUAUGGUAAGCAUAUAAUAAGGUAAGUAACUUUAUUGAAUUGAAUUUGAAAAAAAUUAAAUUGACUAAGGAAAAUAUGUGUUGGUAUUGAACUGUGUUUUACUUAGUGAAGGGAAAAAGUAUAAUUGAUAUUGAAAAUGAAUUCUUGAAAUAAAAGUGAAAAUUAGAUUGUGAAAUUUAUAUAUCCUAUUAACUAAUCGGGCUGAGUCGGAUAUAAUUGGCAUGCCAUAGGAUUUAGAAGAGUACGGGAUUUAUCGGCUUUGCCGAUCAGACACUUUAUGUGUCGUAUCAAGCACCUCGUGUGUCGUUACAGGCACUUAAGUGUCGUAUACUGAUCAGGUACUAUGUACAGUUUUAGGCACAAUGUGCCGUACUGGUGUGUUUGGGUUGGAAUCUGUGUAUCCGCCAAAGUCCAGAUUGUUAAUAGGGUGAAUAAUUGAAAUGAGAAAAUCAAAUGAAUUUGAUCGAUAGCCGUAUUGAAUAUGAGAAAAUUUAAAAUUAUGAUAGGUGAUUGAGAUUGAAGAAUAGCUUAAUAUUGUAUUGUUGUCAAAUAAUGAAAAUUUAUGAAUAAAUUGAUAUUUAAGAAAUUGGAUUGUUACAUGCUUGGUAAUUAUAAUUCUUUAUUUCUAUUAUAAUUUGAAUUAUAGUAAUACCACUGAGUAUAUAAUACUCAGCGUACGGUUGUUUCCGUGCGCAGGUUGAAAAGGGGUUAGAGUCUCGGUUCAGCAUCCAGGACAAUCUCGACUCCUGCAUAGAGAUUUUG
This 1599-nucleotide long non-coding RNA is filed under the name Gossypium barbadense (sea-island cotton). RNAcentral describes it as "long non-coding RNA (GBAR_LNC019358)". The record is from RNAcentral. Lineage: Eukaryota; Viridiplantae; Streptophyta; Magnoliopsida; Malvales; Malvaceae.